AGUGAUAUCUUCCAUCCCUCCCACAUUUUUCACCUCAAUCUAAAGGAUCUCUCAUAUUUUGGCAUUUGUGAAUAUUCAAAUCUGAUAAACUACCACGUACCCCAAACAAGAGCAUUAAGGUCACAUUUAAAUCACUAUCACCUAACAGUCUAACACAGUAAUAAAUUCUUUCCGUUUCACAAAAGGUUGAUAAAUCUUUUAAACAAACAGAUCCAUUAAUUUCUAUCUCACUUAGAAGAGUAGAUGCCUAAAACGAAUGAUACAAUGAGUACCAUCAAAACAUGAAUACCAUAAAAA
RNAcentral lists this small RNA (297 nucleotides) under Arabidopsis thaliana (thale cress). Its description in RNAcentral is "ATSL020700". The record is from RNAcentral. Lineage: Eukaryota; Viridiplantae; Streptophyta; Magnoliopsida; Brassicales; Brassicaceae.